ACUUUGCAAAAGGGCACUGAAACCAUCUUCUUAUAUUUACAGUUUAGAGAUGCAUUUAUGGUCACCUCUGAAGCACAGAUUCGUCUAACAUCCGCACGUGUCGGUGUUCGACACGUAUCUGACUCGGAUACACUCAAAUUUGUAAAGGACACGUAUCCGUAGAGUAUCCAAAAAUUAAAAAAAUAAAAUAAAAUAAAUAAAUAUCAAG
RNAcentral lists this long non-coding RNA (208 nucleotides) under Lupinus angustifolius (narrow-leaved blue lupine). RNAcentral describes it as "long non-coding RNA (LANG_LNC003493)". The record is from RNAcentral. Lineage: Eukaryota; Viridiplantae; Streptophyta; Magnoliopsida; Fabales; Fabaceae.